RNAcentral lists this ribosomal RNA (922 nucleotides) under Corynebacterium casei. Its description in RNAcentral is "bacterial SSU rRNA". It matches the Rfam family "Bacterial small subunit ribosomal RNA", at positions 66 to 995 of the family's 1533-position model. The record is from RNAcentral. Lineage: Bacteria; Bacillati; Actinomycetota; Actinomycetes; Mycobacteriales; Corynebacteriaceae.
ACGGAAAGGCCUCAGCUUGCUGGGGUACUCGAGUGGCGAACGGGUGAGUAACACGUGGGUGAUCUGCCCUGCACUUUGGGAUAAGCUUGGGAAACUGGGUCUAAUACCGAAUAUGACCACUUCUUGGAUGUUGUGGUGGAAAGCUUUUGCGGUGUGGGAUGAGCCUGCGGCCUAUCAGCUUGUUGGUGGGGUAAUGGCCUACCAAGGCGGCGACGGGUAUCCGGCCUGAGAGGGUGUACGGACACAUUGGGACUGAGAUACGGCCCAGACUCCUACGGGAGGCAGCAGUGGGGAAUAUUGCACAAUGGGCGCAAGCCUGAUGCAGCGACGCCGCGUGGGGGAUGAAGGCCUUCGGGUUGUAAACUCCUUUCGCUAUCGACGAAGCCACUUGUGGUGACGGUGGGUAGAUAAGAAGCACCGGCUAACUACGUGCCAGCAGCCGCGGUAAUACGUAGGGUGCAAGCGUUGUCCGGAAUUACUGGGCGUAAAGAGCUCGUAGGUGGUUUGUCGCGUCGUCUGUGAAAUCCCGGGGCUUAACUUCGGGCGUGCAGGCGAUACGGGCAUAACUUGAGUGCUGUAGGGGAGACUGGAAUUCCUGGUGUAGCGGUGAAAUGCGCAGAUAUCAGGAGGAACACCGAUGGCGAAGGCAGGUCUCUGGGCAGUAACUGACGCUGAGGAGCGAAAGCAUGGGUAGCGAACAGGAUUAGAUACCCUGGUAGUCCAUGCCGUAAACGGUGGGCGCUAGGUGUAGGGGGCUUCCACGUCUUCUGUGCCGUAGCUAACGCAUUAAGCGCCCCGCCUGGGGAGUACGGCCGCAAGGCUAAAACUCAAAGGAAUUGACGGGGGCCCGCACAAGCGGCGGAGCAUGUGGAUUAAUUCGAUGCAACGCGAAGAACCUUACCUGGGCUUGACAUGUACCGGA